This 406-nucleotide ribosomal RNA is filed under the name uncultured bacterium. Its description in RNAcentral is "partial 16S ribosomal RNA". It matches the Rfam family "Bacterial small subunit ribosomal RNA", at positions 30 to 526 of the family's 1533-position model. The record is from RNAcentral.
AUUGAACGCUGGCGGCAUGCUUUACACAUGCAAGUCGAACGAGUGGCGCACGCGUGAGUAUUACAUCGGAACGUGUCCUAUCGUGGGGGAUAACUGAUCGAAAGAUCAGCUAAUACCGCAUACGAUUGGAGCGGCCGAUGCCCGAUUAGCUAGUUGGUGGGGUAAAGGCUCACAAAGUCGACGAUCGGUCGCUGGUCUGAGAGGACGACCAGCCACACUGGAACUGGGACACGGCCCAGACUCCUACGGGAGGCAGCAGUGGGGAAUUUUGGACAAUGGGGGCAACCCUGAUGCAGCCAUGCCGCGUGCGGGAUGAAGGUCUUCGGGUUGUAAACUACUUUUGUCAGGGAGGCGGUACCUGAAGAAUAAGCACCGGCUAACUACGUGCCAGCAGCCGCGGUAAUAC